GGAGAGAUGCCAGAGUGGCCGAAUGGGACGAUUCGAAAUCCGUUGUACCUUCACCGGUACCUAGGGUUCGAAUCCCUAUCUCUCCGCCA
RNAcentral lists this transfer RNA (89 nucleotides) under Pseudomonas syringae pv. actinidiae. RNAcentral's name for it is "tRNA-Ser". It matches the Rfam family "tRNA". Rfam says of the family: Transfer RNA (tRNA) molecules are approximately 80 nucleotides in length. Lineage: Bacteria; Pseudomonadati; Pseudomonadota; Gammaproteobacteria; Pseudomonadales; Pseudomonadaceae. The record is from RNAcentral. RNAcentral also lists the same sequence under 2 other names.